RNAcentral lists this ribosomal RNA (253 nucleotides) under uncultured bacterium. Its description in RNAcentral is "partial 16S ribosomal RNA". It matches the Rfam family "Bacterial small subunit ribosomal RNA", at positions 524 to 776 of the family's 1533-position model. The record is from RNAcentral.
UACGUAGGGGGCAAGCGUUGUCCGGAUUUACUGGGCGUAAAGAGCGCGUAGGCGGAAGGUGAAGCGUGGCCUGAAAGCCCCCGGCUCAACCGGGGAAGGCGGCUGCGAACUGGCCUUCUUGAGGGCGAUAGAGGGGGGCGGAAUUCCGGGUGUAGUGGUGAAAUGCGUAGAGAUCCGGAGGAACCCCAGAGGCGAAGGCGGCGCUCUGGCUCGCAACUGACGCUCAGACACGACAGCAUGGGGAGCGAACGGG